UCACGUGUAAAUCUCAUAGGGAUAGUCUCACUGAACUACUCCCCGAGACAGCCUGCGGACAGCACAAUGACUGUCCAGACAGCACACUGACCGUCCAGACAGCACACUGACUGUCCCUCUAGUGACCAACCUCCGGAGUGCACAGCUUGUGGGGAGCGACCCCUCCAAGCGCAGACAGGCUAUGUGAGCAUGAUCAACUCNAGGGAUAGUCUCACUGAACUACUCCCCGAGACCGCCUGCGGACAGCACACUGACCGUCCAGACAGCACACUGACUGUCCCUCUAGUGACCAACCUCCGGAGUGCACAGCUUGUGGGGAGCGACCCCUCCAAGCGCAGACAGGCUAUGUGAGCAUGAUCAACUCACGAACAGCAACAACCUACCCUCUAAGGGUAAUCUCAU
RNAcentral lists this long non-coding RNA (402 nucleotides) under Ananas comosus (pineapple). RNAcentral describes it as "long non-coding RNA (ACOM_LNC017832)". Lineage: Eukaryota; Viridiplantae; Streptophyta; Magnoliopsida; Poales; Bromeliaceae. The record is from RNAcentral.